CAAUAGCGUAUAUCAAAGUUGUUGCAGUUAAAAAGCUCGUAGUUGGAUUUCGGGGCAGCCUGGCUGGUCCGCCGCAAGGCGAGUACUGGUCCGCCGCCCUUCCUCUCGAAAGCCCCGACUGCUCUUUAUUGCAGUGGUCGGGUAGUUCGGGACGUUUACUUUGAAAAAAUUAGAGUGUUCAAGGCAGGCCUACGCCUGAAUACAUUAGCAUGGAAUAAUGGAAGAGGACCUCGGUCCUAUUUUGUCGGUUUCCAGGACCGAAGUAAUGAUUAAGAGGGACAGUUGGGGGCAUUCGUAUUUAAUUGUCAGAGGUGAAAUUCUCGGAUUUAUGAAAGACGAACAACUGCGAAAGCAUUUGCCAAGGAUGUUUUCAUUAA
This 377-nucleotide ribosomal RNA is filed under the name uncultured eukaryote. RNAcentral's name for it is "partial 18S ribosomal RNA". It matches the Rfam family "Eukaryotic small subunit ribosomal RNA", at positions 592 to 976 of the family's 1831-position model. The record is from RNAcentral.